RNAcentral lists this ribosomal RNA (324 nucleotides) under uncultured eukaryote. RNAcentral's name for it is "partial 18S ribosomal RNA". It matches the Rfam family "Eukaryotic small subunit ribosomal RNA", at positions 1470 to 1796 of the family's 1831-position model. The record is from RNAcentral.
CCCUUAGAUGCUCUGGGCCGCACGCGCGCUACACUGGUCGAUGCAACGAGUUUCUUUCCUUGGCCGACAGGCCUGGGCAAUCUUUGAACAUCGAUCGUGAUCGGGAUAGAUUCUUGUAAUUUUUGAUCUUAAACGAGGAAUUCCUAGUAAACGCAAGUCAUCAGCUUGCAUUGAUUACGUCCCUGCCCUUUGUACACACCGCCCGUCGCGCCUACCGAUUGAAUGGUCCGGUGAAAUCUCCGGACUGGCGUGAGUCGGAGCAAUCUGACAAACGCCGGAAAGUUGAUUAAACCUUACCAUUUAGAGGAAGGUGAAGUCGUAACA